ACGUUCGGGUAAUCGCUGCAAUUUUUAUUGUAGAGGAAAGUCCAUGCUCGCACUGGCUGAGAUGCCGGUAGUGUUCGUGCCUAGCGAAGUCAUAAGCUAGGGCAGUGUCAAAGCUGACGGCAGGGAAAACACCUAAGUCAAUCGUUGAUAUGGUGUGAAUACCUUGAAAGUGCCACAGUGACGUAGCCUUUUCAGAAAUGAAAAGGGUGGAACGAGGUAAACCCCACGAGUGAGAAACCCAAAUUAUGGUAGGGGCACUUUCUCUGAGAAAAUGAACGAAGAGAAGGACAAACAUAUAUAUGUUUGUAGAUAGAUGAUUACCACCUAUGUACGAGACUGAAGUCGUUUGCAGUACAAUGGUACAAAACAUGGCUUACAGAA
Molecule: RNase P RNA, 381 nt
Filed under: Cytobacillus gottheilii
Lineage: Bacteria; Bacillati; Bacillota; Bacilli; Caryophanales; Bacillaceae
Description: RNase P RNA component class B
Rfam family: Bacterial RNase P class B
About the family: Ribonuclease P (RNase P) is a ubiquitous endoribonuclease, found in archaea, bacteria and eukarya as well as chloroplasts and mitochondria.
Source: RNAcentral